CCUAACACAUGCAAGUCGAGCGAGAAUUUUCCAACUGAUUCUUCGGAUGAAGGAAGAAAAGGAAAGCGGCGGACGGGUGAGUAACGCGUGGGAAACCUGCCCUAUACACGGGGAUAGCCAUUGGAAACGAUGAUUAAUACCCGAUAAGACCACAAUCUCGCAUGGGAUGGUGGUAAAAAUUCCGGUGGUAUAGGAUGGUCCCGCGUCUGAUUAGCUAGUUGGUAAGGUAACGGCUUACCAAGGCGACGAUCAGUAGCCGGCCUGAGAGGGUGAACGGCCACACUGGAACUGAGACACGGUCCAGACUCCUACGGGAGGCAGCAGUGGGGGAUAUUGCACAAUGGGGGAAACCCUGAUGCAGCGAUGCCGCGUGAAUGAUGAAGGCUUUCGAGUCGUAAAGUUCUGUUCUUAGGGAAGAUAGUGACGGUACCUAAGAAGAAAGCCCCGGCUAAAUACGUGCCAGCAGCCGCGGUAAUACGUAUGGGGCGAGCGUUAUCCGGAAUUAUUGGGCGUAAAGAGUUCGUAGGCGGUUUUCUAAGUCAGAAGUGAAAGGCAGUGGCUCAACCAUUGUAAGCUUUUGAAACUGGGAAACUUGAGUGUUGGAGAGGAAAGCGGAAUUCCUAGUGUAGCGGUGAAAUGCGUAGAUAUUAGGAGGAACACCAGUGGCGAAGGCGGCUUUCUGGACAAAUACUGACGCUGAGGAACGAAAGCGUGGGGAGCGAACAGGAUUAGAUACCCUGGUAGUCCACGCCGU
This 754-nucleotide ribosomal RNA is filed under the name uncultured bacterium. RNAcentral describes it as "bacterial SSU rRNA". It matches the Rfam family "Bacterial small subunit ribosomal RNA", at positions 47 to 803 of the family's 1533-position model. The record is from RNAcentral.